AUUGAACGCUGGCGGCAUGCUUUACACAUGCAAGUCGAACGGUAACAGGUUAAGCUGACGAGUGGCGAACGGGUGAGUAAUGCAUCGGAACGUGCCCGAUCGUGGGGGAUAACACAGCGAAAGCUGCGCUAAUACCGCAUACGAUCUGAGGAUGAAAGCGGGGGACCGUAAGGCCUCGCGCGAUCGGAGCGGCCGAUGUCAGAUUAGGUAGUUGGUGAGGUAAAGGCUCACCAAGCCAACGAUCUGUAGCUGGUCUGAGAGGACGACCAGCCACACUGGGACUGAGAAGCGGCCCAGACGCCUACGGGAGGCAGCAGUGGGGAAUUUUGGACAAUGGGCGAAAGCCUGAUCCAGCAAUGCCGCGUGCAGGAAGAAGGCCUUCGGGUUGUAAACUGCUUUUGUACGGAGCGAAAAGGCCCUCUCUAAUACAGUGGGCUCAUGACGGUACCGUAAGAAUAAGCACCGGCUAACUACGUGCCAGCCGCCGCCGUAA
RNAcentral lists this ribosomal RNA (493 nucleotides) under uncultured bacterium. RNAcentral's name for it is "partial 16S ribosomal RNA". It matches the Rfam family "Bacterial small subunit ribosomal RNA", at positions 30 to 523 of the family's 1533-position model. The record is from RNAcentral.